This 793-nucleotide ribosomal RNA is filed under the name uncultured archaeon. Its description in RNAcentral is "bacterial SSU rRNA". It matches the Rfam family "Archaeal small subunit ribosomal RNA", at positions 540 to 1342 of the family's 1478-position model. The record is from RNAcentral.
CCCUGAUAAUCCAACGAUUAAUCGUUGGAUCGCGGGGGAUACUGCUUGGCUAGGGGACGAGAGAGGCAGACGGUAUUUCCGGGGUAGGGGUGAAAUCCUAUAAUCCCGGGAAGACCACCAGUGGCGAAGGCUGUCUGCUAGAACGCGCCCGACGGUGAGGGAUGAAAGCUGGGGGAGCGAACCGGAUUAGAUACCCGGGUAGUCCCAGCUGUAAACGAUGCAGGCUAGGUGUUUGGACGGCCACGUGCCGUUCUAGUGCCGCAGGGAAGCUGUUAAGCCUGCCGCCUGGGGAGUACGAUCGCAAGAUUGAAACUUAAAGGAAUUGGCGGGGGAGCACCACAAGGGGUGAAGCUUGCGGUUUAAUUGGAGUCAACGCCGGAAAUCUCACCGGGAGCGACAGCAGUGUGAAGGCCAGAUUAAAGGUCUUGCCAGACGAGCUGAGAGGAGGUGCAUGGCCGUCGCCAGUUCGUGCCGUGAGGUGUCCUGUUAAGUCAGGCAACGAUCGAGACCCGCGUCCUCUGUUGCUACUAGCCUUGUGCUGGGCACACUGAGGAGACCGCCACUGAUAAAGUGGAGGAAGGAGCGGGCCACGGCAGGUCAGUAUGCCCCGAAUCUCCCGUGCCACACGCGAGCUGCAAUGGCAGGUACAAUGAGUUCCAACCUCGAAAGGGGGAGGCAAUCUCGAAAGCCUGCCGUAGUUGGGAUCGAAGGCUGCAACCCGCCUUCGUGAACAUGGAAUCCCUAGUAAUCGCGUGUCAUCAGCGCGCGGUGAAUACGUCCCUGCUCCUUGCAC